AGGUUGGUUAAUUGCACUUGGUUAAGAGCCACUAUUUCUUGUAUAAAUUUAGUGCAUAUCAAAAUAACUAGUGGUUCAAAUAUAGUCUUCAAAGUCAAAAAUCAAAUCUGCAUAUUUUCCCAUAUAGAAUCAAUUUGUAACGGUAGGCCCCCGCUUAUAAGUAUAGGUAUUGGGCGCGGCUGGCAGGAAGUUUUGGCCUAAGUGGUUUGUGCUGUACUGCCCGGCUGGUGCCUGAUCAUUACACAAAUAUCGUUAGAGAAGACAAGUAUACUCACUUACUAUACUUACUUCUCAUUUUUGAGCGCACGUAACAAGCUCACCACGAUCUGUUAUAAGUAUAAACUUCUUGAAUUCACUGUACUCAACAGAAUCAGUUCAUUGAAAGACGCAAUAUCAUAGAAUAUCAUCAACAUAGAAGAAUAUAUAAUUUUAGAGUCACUGGGGC
This 445-nucleotide small RNA is filed under the name Histoplasma capsulatum. RNAcentral's name for it is "hypothetical RNA". The record is from RNAcentral. Lineage: Eukaryota; Fungi; Ascomycota; Eurotiomycetes; Onygenales; Ajellomycetaceae. RNAcentral also lists the same sequence under 1 other name.